CACACAUGGAUUCAGGUUAGCUUCCGCUCAUGUAGUUUAAUUCCGAAUUGUUCAAUAUGAAGGUUAUUGUCUUUAGUAGGAAUCAUAAUCCUAACAUACUUGUUCUGAAGGCAUAUUUUACGGGCAUUAGAGAAAGAAUUUGGACAAUAAGAGAGUCAGGUAACUCUGACUGAUCCAAUCAAUACCUGUUUAUGCACAUCCUUUCUGAAUCUUCUUUGUUUUCUGAGGUGGAUUUUCAUGGUCUUUACAGUCUGCAUCAUUACCAGAACUGCGAGGACACUGGUCUUGCUCACCCAUGGUUGUCAUUCCUUGAGAGACCUAUACACUAGUCCGCUCCUGUACCUUUGUUUAGUCUUGAGAAGGAAGACAUACUAUGCAGCAAUUAGGGCUAAGAAGGGUGGAAAUGAUCGGUCAAUACUGAGAAUUGCGGGUCAAGUUUAGUUUCCCAUUAAAAA
This 455-nucleotide long non-coding RNA is filed under the name Nicotiana benthamiana. Its description in RNAcentral is "long non-coding RNA (NBEN_LNC022567)". Lineage: Eukaryota; Viridiplantae; Streptophyta; Magnoliopsida; Solanales; Solanaceae. The record is from RNAcentral.